GGCGAAGGGGCAGCAAUGUCACUGUCGUACGGGUGCGUAACGCGUAUGCAACCUACCUAUCACUGGGGGAUAGCCCGGGGAAACCCGGAUUAAUACCGCAUAAAACAGGGGCACCGCAUGGUGAUAUUUGUUAAAGAUUUAUUGGUGAUAGAUGGGCAUGCGUUCGAUUAGCUAGUUGGCGGGGUAACGGCCCACCAAGGCGACGAUCGAUAGGGGAGCUGAGAGGUUGAUCCCCCACACGGGCACUGAGAUACGGGCCCGACUCCUACGGGAGGCAGCAGUAGGGAAUAUUGGGCAAUGGAUGCAAGUCUGACCCAGCCAUGCCGCGUGCCGGAUGAAGGCCCUCAGGGUUGUAAACGGCUUUUAUUCGGGAAGAAGAGCAGGGAUGCGUCCUUGUGUGACGGUACCGAAUGAAUAAGCACCGGCUAACUCCGUGCCAGCAGCCGCGGUAAUACGGAGGGUGCGAGCGUUGUCCGGAUUUAUUGGGUUUAAAGGGUGCGUAGGUGGCUGUUUAAGUCAGUGGUGAAAUACGGUUGCUCAACAAUCGAGGUGCCAUUGAUACUGAAUAGCUUGAAAUAAUUGGAGGCUGCCGGAAUGGAUGGUGUAGCGGUGAAAUGCAUAGAUAUCAUCCAGAACACCGAUUGCGAAGGCAGGUGGCUACGAUUGGUUUGACACUGAGGCACGAAAGCAUGGGGAGCAAACAGGAUUAGAUACCCUGGUAGUCCAUGCUGUAAACGAUGAGGACUCGCUGUUUGAUGGCAACAUUGAGCGGCUUAGGGAAACCG
RNAcentral lists this ribosomal RNA (785 nucleotides) under Dyadobacter fermentans. RNAcentral's name for it is "bacterial SSU rRNA". It matches the Rfam family "Bacterial small subunit ribosomal RNA", at positions 61 to 859 of the family's 1533-position model. Lineage: Bacteria; Pseudomonadati; Bacteroidota; Cytophagia; Cytophagales; Spirosomataceae. The record is from RNAcentral.